AGCAGCCGCGGUAAUUCCAGCUCCAAUAGCGUAUAUUAAAGUUGUUGCAGUUAAAAAGCUCGUAGUUGAAUUUCGGGGUCAAUAAGUUGGUCAUGCCAAUGGUAUGCACUGGCUUUAUUGAUUCCUACCUCUUGACGAACUGUGAUGCCAUUAAUUUGGUGUUGCAAGGAAUCAGGACUGUUACCUUGAAAAAAUUGAGUGUUUAAAGCAAGCUUACGCUUGAAUACAUUAGCAUGGAAUAAUGAAAUAGGACGUUUGAUCCUAUUUUGUUGGUUUCUAGGAUCGACGUAAUGAUUAAUAGGGAUAGUUGGGGGCAUUAGUAUUCAAAUUGUACAGAGGUGAAAUUCUUGGAUUUAUUGAAGACUAACUACUGCGAAAGCAUUUGCCAAGGAUGUUUUCAUUAAUCAAGAACGAAAGUUAGG
This 422-nucleotide ribosomal RNA is filed under the name uncultured Glomus. Its description in RNAcentral is "SSU rRNA". It matches the Rfam family "Eukaryotic small subunit ribosomal RNA", at positions 569 to 994 of the family's 1831-position model. Lineage: Eukaryota; Fungi; Glomeromycota; Glomeromycetes; Glomerales; Glomeraceae. The record is from RNAcentral.